GACGAACGCUGGCGGCGUGCCUAAUACAUGCAAGUAGAACGCACAGUUUAUACCGUAGCUUGCUACACCAUAGACUGUGAGUUGCGAACGGGUGAGUAACGCGUAGGUAACCUGCCUGGUAGCGGGGGAUAACUAUUGGAAACGAUAGCUAAUACCGCAUAAUAUUAAUUAUUGCAUGAUAAUUGAUUGAAAGAUGCAACUGCAUCACUACCAGAUGGACCUGCGUUGUAUUAGCUAGUAGGUGAGGUAACGGCUCACCUAGGCGACGAUACAUAGCCGACCUGAGAGGGUGAUAGGCCACAAUGGGAAUGAGACACGGCCCAGACUCCUACGGGAGGCAGCAGUAGGGAAUCUUCGGCAAUGGACGAAAGUCUGACCGAGCAACGCCGCGUGAGUGAAGAAGGUUUUCGGAUCGUAAAGCUCUGUUGUAAGAGAAGAACGGGUGUGAGAGUGGAAAGUUCACACUGUGACGGUAUCUUACCAGAAAGGGACGGCUAACUACGUG
Molecule: ribosomal RNA, 505 nt
Filed under: uncultured bacterium
Lineage: Bacteria
Description: partial 16S ribosomal RNA
Rfam family: Bacterial small subunit ribosomal RNA
Source: RNAcentral